GACGAACGCUGGCGGCGUGCUUAACACAUGCAAGUCGAACGGAAAGGCCCUGCUUUUGUGGGGUGCUCGAGUGGCGAACGGGUGAGUAACACGUGAGUAACCUGCCCUUGACUUUGGGAUAACUUCAGGAAACUGGGGCUAAUACCGGAUAGGAGCUCCUGCUGCAUGGUGGGGGUUGGAAAGUUUCGGCGGUUGGGGAUGGACUCGCGGCUUAUCAGCUUGUUGGUGGGGUAGUGGCUUACCAAGGCUUUGACGGGUAGCCGGCCUGAGAGGGUGACCGGCCACAUUGGGACUGAGAUACGGCCCAGACUCCUACGGGAGGCAGCAGUGGGGAAUAUUGCACAAUGGGCGGAAGCCUGAUGCAGCAACGCCGCGUGCGGGAUGACGGCCUUCGGGUUGUAAACCGCUUUCGCCUGUGACGAAGCGUGAGUGACGGUAAUGGGUAAAGAAGCACCGGCUAACUACGUGCCAGCAGCCGCGGUGAUACGUAGGGUGCAAGCGUUGUCCGGAUUUAUUGGGCGUAAAGGGCUCGUAGGUGGUUGAUCGCGUCGGAAGUGUAAUCUUGGGGCUUAACCCUGAGCGUGCUUUCGAUACGGGUUGACUUGAGGAAGGUAGGGGAGAAUGGAAUUCCUGGUGGAGCGGUGGAAUGCGCAGAUAUCAGGAGGAACACCAGUGGCGAAGGCGGUUCUCUGGGCCUUUCCUGACGCUGAGGAGCGAAAGCGUGGGGAGCGAACAGGCUUAGAUACCCUGGUAGUCCACGCUGUAAACGGUGGGUACUAGGUGUGGGGUCCAUUCCACGGGUUCCGUGCCGUAGCUAACGCUUUAAGUACCCCGCCUGGGGAGUACGGCCGCAAGGCUAAAACUCAAAGGAAUUGACGGGGCCCCGCACAAGCGGCGGAGCAUGCGGAUUAAUUCGAUGCAACGCGUAGAACCUUACCUGGGUUUGACAUGGAUCGGGAGCGCUCAGAGAUGGGUGUGCCUCUUUUGGGGUCGGUUCACAGGUGGUGCAUGGCUGUCGUCAGCUCGUGUCGUGAGAUGUUGGGUUAAGUCCCGCAACGAGCGCAACCCUUGUUCACUGUUGCCAGCACGUUAUGGUGGGGACUCAGUGGAGACCGCCGGGGUCAACUCGGAGGAAGGUGGGGAUGACGUCAAGUCAUCAUGCCCCUUAUGUCCAGGGCUUCACGCAUGCUACAAUGGCUGGUACAGAGAGUGGCGAGCCUGUGAGGGUGAGCAAAUCUCGGAAAGCCGGUCUCAGUUCGGAUUGGGGUCUGCAACUCGACCUCAUGAAGUCGGAGUCGCUAGUAAUCGCAGAUCAGCAACGCUGCGGUGAAUACGUUCCCGGG
This 1343-nucleotide ribosomal RNA is filed under the name uncultured bacterium. Its description in RNAcentral is "16S ribosomal RNA". It matches the Rfam family "Bacterial small subunit ribosomal RNA", at positions 28 to 1378 of the family's 1533-position model. The record is from RNAcentral.